This 301-nucleotide ribosomal RNA is filed under the name uncultured bacterium. Its description in RNAcentral is "partial 16S ribosomal RNA". It matches the Rfam family "Bacterial small subunit ribosomal RNA", at positions 509 to 809 of the family's 1533-position model. The record is from RNAcentral.
CAGCCGCCGCGGGAAUACGUAGGUCCCGAGCGUUGUCCGGAUUUAUUGGGCGUAAAGCGAGCGCAGGCGGUUAGAUAAGUCUGAAGUUAAAGGCUGUGGCUUAACCAUAGUACGCUUUGGAAACUGUUUAACUUGAGUGCAGAAGGGGAGAGUGGAAUUCCAUGUGUAGCGGUGAAAUGCGUAGAUAUAUGGAGGAACACCGGUGGCGAAGGCGGCUUUCUGGACUGUAACUGACGCUGAGGCUCGAAAGCCAGGGGAGCGAACGGGAUUAGAUACCCGCGUAGUCCCUGUCUCUUAUACA